CCGGCGAGGGGAGUGAAAAAGAACCUGAAACCGUGUACGUACAAGCAGUGGGAGCACGCUUAGGCGUGUGACUGCGUACCUUUUGUAUAAUGGGUCAGCGACUUAUAUUCUGUAGCAAGGUUAACCGAAUAGGGGAGCCGAAGGGAAACCGAGUCUUAACUGGGCGUUAAGUUGCAGGGUAUAGACCCGAAACCCGGUGAUCUAGCCAUGGGCAGGUUGAAGGUUGGGUAACACUAACUGGAGGACCGAACCGACUAAUGUUGAAAAAUUAGCGGAUGACUUGUGGCUGGGGGUGAAAGGCCAAUCAAACCGGGAGAUAGCUGGUUCUCCCCGAAAGCUAUUUAGGUAGCGCCUCGUGAAUUCAUCUCCGGGGGUAGAGCACUGUUUCGGCAAGGGGGUCAUCCCGACUUACCAACCCGAUGCAAACUGCGAAUACCGGAGAAUGUUAUCACGGGAGACACACGGCGGGUGCUAACGUCCGUCGUGAAGAGGGAAACAACCCAGACCGCCAGCUAAGGUCCCAAAGUCAUGGUUAAGUGGGAAACGAUGUGGGAAGGCCCAGACAGCCAGGAUGUUGGCUUAGAAGCAGCCAUCAUUUAAAGAAAGCGUAAUAGCUCACUGGUCGAGUCGGCCUGCGCGGAAGAUGUAACGGGGCUAAACCAUGCACCGAAGCUGCGGCAGCGACGCUGAUGCGUUGUUGGGUAGGGGAGCGUUCUGUAAGCCUGUGAAGGUGUGCUGUGAGGCAUGCUGGAGGUAUCAGAAGUGCGAAUGCUGACAUAAGUAACGAUAAAGCGGGUGAAAAGCCCGCUCGCCGGAAGACCAAGGGUUCCUGUCCAACGUUAAUCGGGGCAGGGUGAGUCGACCCCUAAGGCGAGGCCGAAAGGCGUAGUCGAUGGGAAACAGGUUAAUAUUCCUGUACUUGGUGUUACUGCGAAGGGGGGACGGAGAAGGCUAUGUUGGCCGGGCGACGGUUGUCCCGGUUUAAGCGUGUAGGCUGGUUUUCCAGGCAAAUCCGGAAAAUCAAGGCUGAGGCGUGAUGACGAGGCACUACGGUGCUGAAGCAACAAAUGCCCUGCUUCCAGGAAAAGCCUCUAAGCAUCAGGUAACAUCAAAUCGUACCCCAAACCGACACAGGUGGUCAGGUAGAGAAUACCAAGGCGCUUGAGAGAACUCGGGUGAAGGAACUAGGCAAAAUGGUGCCGUAACUUCGGGAGAAGGCACGCUGAUAUGUAGGUGAAGCGACUUGCUCGUGGAGCUGAAAUCAGUCGAAGAUACCAGCUGGCUGCAACUGUUUAUUAAAAACACAGCACUGUGCAAACACGAAAGUGGACGUAUACGGUGUGACGCCUGCCCGGUGCCGGAAGGUUAAUUGAUGGGGUCAGCGCAAGCGAAGCUCUUGAUCGAAGCCCCGGUAAACGGCGGCCGUAACUAUAACGGUCCUAAGGUAGCGAAAUUCCUUGUCGGGUAAGUUCCGACCUGCACGAAUGGCGUAAUGAUGGCCAGGCUGUCUCCACCCGAGACUCAGUGAAAUUGAACUCGCUGUGAAGAUGCAGUGUACCCGCGGCAAGACGGAAAGACCCCGUGAACCUUUACUAUAGCUUGACACUGAACAUUGAGCCUUGAUGUGUAGGAUAGGUGGGAGGCUUUGAAGUGUGGACGCCAGUCUGCAUGGAGCCGGCCUUGAAAUACCACCCUUUAAUGUUUGAUGUUCUAACGUUGACCCGUGAUCCGGGUUGCGGACAGUGUCUGGUGGGUAGUUUGACUGGGGCGGUCUCCUCCUAAAGAGUAACGGAGGAGCACGAAGGUUGGCUAAUCCUGGUCGGACAUCAGGAGGUUAGUGCAAUGGCAUAAGCCAGCUUGACUGCGAGCGUGACGGCGCGAGCAGGUGCGAAAGCAGGUCAUAGUGAUCCGGUGGUUCUGAAUGGAAGGGCCAUCGCUCAACGGAUAAAAGGUACUCCGGGGAUAACAGGCUGAUACCGCCCAAGAGUUCAUAUCGACGGCGGUGUUUGGCACCUCGAUGUCGGCUCAUCACAUCCUGGGGCUGAAGUAGGUCCCAAGGGUAUGGCUGUUCGCCAUUUAAAGUGGUACGCGAGCUGGGUUUAGAACGUCGUGAGACAGUUCGGUCCCUAUCUGCCGUGGGCGCUGGAGAACUGAGGGGGGCUGCUCCUAGUACGAGAGGACCGGAGUGGACGCAUCACUGGUGUUCGGGUUGUCAUGCCAAUGGCACUGCCCGGUAGCUAAAUGCGGAAGAGAUAAGUGCUGAAAGCAUCUAAGCACGAAACUUGCCCCGAGAUGAGUUCUCCCUGACUCCUUGAGAGUCCUGAAGGAACGUUGAAGACGACGACGUUGAUAGGCCGGGUGUGUAAGCGCAGCGAUGCGUUGAGCUAACCGGUACUAAUGAACCGUGAG
Molecule: ribosomal RNA, 2409 nt
Filed under: Escherichia coli
Lineage: Bacteria; Pseudomonadati; Pseudomonadota; Gammaproteobacteria; Enterobacterales; Enterobacteriaceae
Description: partial 23S ribosomal RNA
Rfam family: Bacterial large subunit ribosomal RNA
Source: RNAcentral